Molecule: long non-coding RNA, 1687 nt
Filed under: Microcebus murinus (gray mouse lemur)
Lineage: Eukaryota; Metazoa; Chordata; Mammalia; Primates; Cheirogaleidae
Description: lncRNA (ENSMICG00000048792.1)
Source: RNAcentral
AGCCAGGCCAGGGCUGGGUGGGAGCCAGGGCAGCCUGUCCUCUCCCCCCAGAGCCCACGUGACCAAACAAGCCAGACCACUGAGCAUGGUGUAGACCAAGGACACUGCCCUGGACUCCAUGGAGCCACAACCGGACACCAGUCACAAGGAGAACAUGCCCCCAAGGCCUGGGGCACCCCUGAGGCCAGAGCCACAGAGAUUCCAGAGCAGCCUGGGCGUCGGCCCGGGCAGUGGAUGUGGCCAGCGGGUGCCCAAGAGGGGAAGUCCUGCUGCCACGCCCUCCCCAGGGGCGGCGCUGCACCAGGAGCCCUGCGGGGUCCAGACCAACCUCGCCAGCCCGGGUCCCCGCCUGGGCCUAGCCCUGAGGGACAGCAGGGGCCCACUGGCCAUGUCAAGCUUCUGGCAACAGAGUAACCUGCAGCCUGCCGCUGGGAGGCCCCAGGGCAAGGCCCGAGAGUUUGCCCAGCAGAGUAACCUGAGCAUGAGCGAGACCACCAGCCCCCGCCUCUGGCCGGAGUCUCGGGAAAGCUUCGGGCCCCACGUGCUGCCCUGGGGAAGUCCCCUACCCCAGGGGCCACUGAGUCACCCAUCCCGCAGCCUGAUGCAGUCCAGGCUGCCGGCCACAGACACGCACAGCCUGGACUUGAGGCCCGAGGCAGGCUUUGCCCCUCUCAGUGGGCGCACACAGCCAGGCCCCAGGUCCUGGCGUGGCCUGGGGAACUGGCCCUCCAGGGUGGAAGCGGAACCCCUCACGCUGGACGACCUGGCUGUCCCUGGCCAGAGCCAGGCUCGGGCCCCAUCCCAUGCUGCCAUCCACCAGCUACUGGCCUCCGUACGGCGCCUGGAGCAGGAGGCGGCCCGUCUCCAGUGCAGGGCGUCCCAGGGGUCCCCAGGUGCUGCGCAGCGGGACCCCUGGGCCAGCAGCGGCCGGGCGCCCCAGCCCAGCCGGCCUGCUCUUGCCUUCUGGCAGGAGAGGAGGAAGAGACUCCCCCAAGGCCACAGGGAAACUGCAGAUUUCCUCGAGUCCCAGGGGGCUCAGGCUGGUCCCUCAAAGUCUUGGACACGCAGCAAGCCAGCGUGGCCGGAGACCACUUCGGGGAUGCUGCCUGGAGAUCUUGACCCUGAGCAGGGGCCCCUUCCCGCACACCCCCUGCGGCCCGGGGAGGACUGCUCCCCAGGGCCUGUGUGUGGCAGGGCGCAGAGGGGCCACCCUCGUCUUCCUCAAGGGGUGUACAGCAGGGAGGCCACACCCUGCUCUUCAGCCUUCUCUGGCGCAGCUCGGGGGGGCCUACCUAGGCGGAAAGGAGAGGAGGGGGCCCUGAGGGAGCUGGCCCACAGGGAGGAGGAGAGCACGGCUUCCUGUCCGCCAGACGCAGCCCCAGCCAGGAGCACCCCGAAGAACCAGGUCCCAAACACUGUGGCUCUGGAAUCGGAGGCAGUCCGCCGGCAGCUGCUGUCCAGAUGCUUCAGAGCCUGGAGGCCCUUGGCGCGGAGACGGCGGGCCGUGGCAGCGGCGGUGGCACUGGGCCGCCGGCAGCUGCUGCGAAGGGGCCUUCGGGCUCUGCGGUGGGCCCUGUGGCUCCGGGAGGCCCGGCUGGAGGCUGCAUGGGGACGACACGCGAAGGCCCUGCUGGCCCGGAGCUUCCGAGAGGUCAGGGGUCUCCAGGUUGGGCCAGGGGACGUGUGA